Molecule: ribosomal RNA, 1938 nt
Filed under: human gut metagenome
Description: bacterial LSU rRNA
Rfam family: Bacterial large subunit ribosomal RNA
Source: RNAcentral
UUAAGCUAUAAAGAGCACAGGGUGGAUGCCUAGGCACUGAGAGCCGAUGAAGGACGUGAUAAGCUGCGAAAAGCCACGGGGAGGAGCAAAUAUCCUUUGAGCCGUGGAUAUCCGAAUGGGGGAACCCACUUAAGUAAACCUUAAGUACUGACAAGCCAAUACAUAACUUGCCAGAGGGAACCCGGGGAACUGAAACAUCUAAGUACCCGGAGGAAGAGAAAGAAACAUCGAUUUCCUUAGUAGCGGCGAGCGAAAGGGAAAGAGCCCAAACCGAGAGAUUUAUCUUUCGGGGUUAGGACUGCAUAAUUGAUCUGCGAUUGAUAGGAGAAUGGUCUGGGAAGUCCAGCAGGAAAGCGUGAAAGCCGCGUAUCCGAAAUUGAAAGCAGCAAGGCAGUAUCCAGAGUACCACGAGACACGAGGAACCUUGUGGGAAUGAGCGGAGACCACUCCGUAAGGCUAAAUACUACUCAGUGACCGAUAGCGCAUAGUACUGUGAAGGAAAGGUGAAAAGGACCCCGGGAGGGGAGUGAAAGAGAACCUGAAACCCUGUGUUUACAAGCUGUCGGAGCACGUUAGUGCGACGGCGUACUUUUUGUAGAACGGUCCGGCGAGUUAUGAUACGCGGUAAGGUUAAGGACUUAAGGUCCGGAGCCGAAGCGAAAGCGAGUGUUAAGAGCACGAAGAAUCACGUAUCAUAGACCCGAAACCGGGUGAUCUAUCCAUGUCCAGGAUGAAGCUGCCGUAAGAGGUAGUGGAGGUCCGAACACACAUCCGUUGAAAAGGGUGGUGAUGAGGUGUGGAUAGGGGAGAAAUUCCAAUCGAACCCGGAGAUAGCUGGUUCUCCUCGAAAUAGCUUUAGGGCUAGCCUUCAGUUAGUCUGCCGCAGGUAGAGCACUGAAUUUCCUAGGGGGCGUCAAAGCCUACCGAAGAAUAUCAAACUGCGAAUGGCGGACAGAUGAUGCUGGGGAGUCAGACUGCACGAGAUAAGUUGGGUGGUCAAAAGGGAAAGAGCCCAGACCUACAGCUAAGGUCCCAAAGUGCGUGUUAAGUGGAAAAGGAUGUGGGAUUUCGAAGACAACUAGGAUGUUGGCUCAGAAGCAGCCACACAUUAAAAGAGUGCGUAAUAGCUCACUAGUCGAGAGGUCCUGCGCCGAAAAUGUCCGGGGCUGAAACACGACACCGAAGCUUAGGAACAGAAAUGUUGGUAGAGGAGCAUUGUUAGCGGAACGAAGCCAUACCGGAAGGAGUGGUGGACUGCUAAGAAGAGAGAAUGCCGGAAUGAGUAGCGAGAUUGAAGUGAGAAUCUUCAAGGCCGAAUAUCUAAGGUUUCCAGGGUAAAGCUGAUCUGCCCUGGGUAAGUCGGGGCCUAAGGCGAGGUCGAAAGACGUAGCCGAUGGACAACAGGUUGAAAUUCCUGUACUGCGAUAUAUCAGAAAUGUGGGGACACAGAAGGAAAGUGUGAGCCGGGAAAGGAAAGACCGGUGCAAGCACAGGAGGAGAGAUACAGGCAAAUCCGUAUUUCAAUCCAAUGGUGUUACGCGGAGCGAACAAAAGUAGCGAAGCACACAGACCAUCUGUCGAGAAAAGCCGCUAUUGUGUAUACCGUACCCGUACCGUAAACCGACACAGGUGGAUGAGGAGAGAAUCCUAAGGCCGGCGGGAGAAGCAUUGUUAAGGAACUCGGCAAAAUGACCCCGUAACUUCGGGAGAAGGGGUGCUCACGCAAGUGAGCCGCAGAGAACUGGCCCAAGCAACUGUUUAGCAAAAACACAGGUCUAUGCAAAACCGAAAGGUGAGGUAUAUGGGCUGACGCCUGCCCGGUGCUGGAAGGUUAAGAGGAGAUGUUAGAGCAAUCGAAGCAUUGAAUUUAAGCCCCAGUAAACGGCGGCCGUAACUAUAACGGUCCUAAGGUAGCGAAAUUCCUUGUCGGGUAAGUUC